GAUGAACGCUAGCUACAGGCUUAACACAUGCAAGUCGAGGGGCAGCAUGGUCUUAGCUUGCUAAGGCCGAUGGCGACCGGCGCACGGGUGAGUAACGCGUAUCCAACCUGCCUUACACUCUUGGACAGCCUUCUGAAAGGGAGAUUAAUACAAGAUGUUAUCAUGAGUAAGCAUUUUCACAUGAUUAAAGGUUUACCGGUGUAAGAUGGGGAUGCGUUCCAUUAGAUAGUAGGCGGGGUAACGGCCCACCCAGUCUUCGAUGGAUAGGGGUUCUGAGAGGAAGGUCCCCCACAUUGGAACUGAGACACGGUCCAAACUCCUACGGGAGGCAGCAGUGAGGAAUAUUGGUCAAUGGACGAGAGUCUGAACCAGCCAAGUAGCGUGAAGGAUGAAGGUUCUAUGGAUUGUAAACUUCUUUUAUACGGGAAUAAACGAAUCCACGUGUGGAUUUUUGCAUGUACCGUAUGAAUAAGGAUCGGCUAACUCCGUGCCAGCAGCCGCGGUAAUACGGAGGAUCCGAGCGUUAUCCGGAUUUAUUGGGUUUAAAGGGAGCGUAGAUGGGUUGUUAAGUCAGUUGUGAAAGUUUGCGGCUCAACCGUAAAAUUGCAAUUGAUACUGGCAGUCUUGAGUACAGUUGAGGUAGGCGGAAUUCGUGGUGUAGCGGUGAAAUGCUUAGAUAUCACGAAGAACUCCGAUUGCGAAGGCAGCUUACUAACCUGUAACUGACAUUGAUGCUCGAAAGUGUGGGUAUCAAACAGGAUUAGAUACCCUGGUAGUCCACACGGUAAACGAUGAAUACUCGCUGUAGGCGAUAUACAGUCUGCGGCCAAGCGAAAGCAUUAAGUAUUCCACCUGGGGAGUACGCCGGCAACGGUGAAACUCAAAGGAAUUGACGGGGGCCCGCACAAGCGGAGGAACAUGUGGUUUAAUUCGAUGAUACGCGAGGAACCUUACCCGGGCUUAAAUUGCAACCGAAUAUGGCGGAAACGCUAUAGCUAGCAAUAGCGGUUGUGAAGGUGCUGCAUGGUUGUCGUCAGCUCGUGCCGUGAGGUGUCGGCUUAAGUGCCAUAACGAGCGCAACCCUUGCCGAUAGUUACUAACAGGUCAUGCUGAGGACUCUGUCGGGACUGCCAUCGUAAGAUGUGAGGAAGGUGGGGAUGACGUCAAAUCAGCACGGCCCUUACGUCCGGGGCUACACACGUGUUACAAUGGGGGGUACAGAGGGCUGCUACCACGCAAGUGGAUGCCAAUCCCAAAAACCUCUCUCAGUUCGGAUUGAAGUCUGCAACCCGACUUCAUGAAGCUGGAUUCGCUAGUAAUCGCGCAUCAGCCACGGCGCGGUGAAUACGUUCCCGGGCCUUGUACACACCGCCCGUCAAGCCAUGGGAGCCGGGGGUACCUAAAGUGCGUAACCGCAAGGAGCGCCCUAGGGUA
Molecule: ribosomal RNA, 1434 nt
Filed under: uncultured organism
Description: 16S ribosomal RNA
Rfam family: Bacterial small subunit ribosomal RNA
Source: RNAcentral